CUUCACUUCAUGUUGGAACCGAGAGAGAGAACCAAAACAUUCCUCUUGGUUGUUCCACUUCAGCCAAGAAAGAAAGAGGGCAAGGCUGGUCUCCUAUCUUCUACUCCAACCGAGAGAGAAAAGUUGAGAGAAUUUUUUGGUUCAUUUCCAUAUCAGUUGAAGUCGAGGGAAAGAGAGUUAGAGAGGAAGGAAAGAGUGAGAAAGCUCUAUUUUCUUGGUGUGAUUCAACCUUGAGGAGCUGAGGGAGGAAAGAGCAUUCUGUCUCCAUUAUUCCAGCCAUGAACCGUGAAUGAAAAAGGGAGGUAGUUGCUAAGUUCUUCUUUAUUUUCCUACUACCUUUGGUUAAUAAUGUCUUAGAAUGAAUUAAAAGUGAGAAAAGAGAAGUUUAGUUGGAGAAAAGUUCAUCCAAAGCCAAAAAUUUCUGGAUAAAUUGCUACUUAAAGACCAAGAGGACAAAGCUGCUAUUUUCGGUUCUUUUCUUUAAAGUUUUGCUGGAUUUUGUCUAGAUGUACUUAAUAUACCUCCUAUCCUUAUUUUUAUGACAUGCACGAAUUGCUUUACUUGAAUCUAAGUGAGGUUAGUGUUGGAUUUUGAAGGAAUUUUGCUAAAAAUUUUCUGGUUAUGUUGAUGCUUGAAGGCUGAUGGAGUAAAGCUGAAAAGUUGCAGUUUUAACUGCAAAAUUUUGCUGGUUUUGGCGAAGAACUCACUUCAUGUACCAUUUACCUCUUUUAUCUAUACAUAUAUAUGGUAUUUGUUGGGAUAGAAGCAAGAAAGACUAAUUGUUGGAAGAAACCUUGCUAAAAUCUGUUUGAAACUAAGGAAGACAAGAGCUUAUUUUACAGCCUCUUAUUGCGAAAUUUUGAGGAGUUUUCCCUAGGAAGUCAUGCUCUAAAUGUUAUAUUUCUUAUUUAGUAUGAUAUAUAGCAUGUUGUCUUUGAAUUUGGUAGCAAAUGGCUGGCCUAGAUGUGAGUUAUUGGUAGCAAUAAAGUUGGAAUAAUUCAAGUGAAAGGCUGAAUUUCGGGUGACAGUCACCCCUGGGCAAUUUUAGUAAAAUGAUCAUAAUUUAGUGUAAAAAAAUCGAAAUUGAGUGCCGUCAACUGCGUUUGAAACUAGACUCAUAGAUCUUUCUAACGGUAUAAAAUUGGAGCUAUGGUUUAUUUUACAUAUGCACCAGAAAAUCGCCCAAGUUGACUGAAAAAUGCACCCUGCACAAAUAAAAACUGGGAUGUUGUAGUAAAUUGUGCCUCAAUUUGGACUAAUUUUUGAACUGAAUCUCCUUGAGGUGUUUUUCAAAGAUUGUUAGUAUCUCAAGUCUAAUUUUAAAUGAGCUAAGUUGUAUAAGUUUUUGACAUUUAUAACUCAAGUUAUGAUUUUUCCAAAGAAAUAAUGCUUGCUGGAAUUUCAGCCUUGAUUGCUAAAUUUUCAAGAUGAUUUUAAGCUCAAUUUGCUCAAAAUACCAUAUAAGACUUUAAACUACAAGUAUGUGUUGGAAAUGAACCAAAAUCAUGGACCUUAAGUGGUUUAAACUCCAUUUAUUUCACUAUUUUCAUAGUUGGAAUUCUACUCAAGGCUGACCGAAAGAGAUAGUGAUUUUGUUUAGCUUUACAAUUGGCUUUGUGUGGUGAAAUCAUCUUGCUAAUGUCUUAAACAUAUGAUUAGACACUAAUUUUGGUAUGAGUAGUGAAUUGAAGUAGAAAAUGAAAGGUUGAGAGGUGAAAACUUCACUUUUACAUGUUUCAUGUCCCUAGUGAUAAAUUUCCAGUUUUAGUUGAGGAAAAUGAGUGUUAAUAUGUUAAUAUCAUGUUUAAUAUAAAUGUUAGCCAUGUCAUGUGAUUUUUCUAGUUUGUACAUGUUUGAUUCGUUUGCUUAUGGAAAUUUCAGCUUGUAGAGUUGAACUUUUGCUUGAUGGCUAGCCUUGGUAUGGAGACAUGUGAGUUAAAUACUUGUCUAUUUUUGGUGGCUUUAUGGUCUGAAACUAGUAGCUAGUAUAGCCUAUCAUUUGUGGUCUUGAUUUGGGUGGUUUGGCCAUGAAAUUUUGCAUUGAGUUUGGAGAGGAAAUAUAGGACUUGUUAUUACAUAGGUGAGUGUGUACAUUAUCACACUCAACCUAACUUGAUUGAAUUCCUAUUUUACAACUAUAAGUGAAUUGUUUACAAGUGAACUGAAAUUCAUGCGCAUGAGUUAAAAGUAACGGCCUGGAUCUUAAACCCCAUAGGCUAGUUAAUCGAGUCGAACCGGCAAGGGUCUGGUCGAUUAGAUAACGAACCCUGAAUCUACUAUUUUGUCGAGUGGAGUGUUAUCUUCUCAACUAAUUGGUAUACUCGAGUAUUACCACCACUGUUUACGUUUGGAAUUCGGGCCCGGUAGGGGGUUGAUUGGUGGAUGGAGGUUGGAAUUAAGUGGUGAUCUACUGGAUUUGUUAUGAUUUUAUAGUUGACGGAGUGUCAACAGAUUUUAAACAAGUUGUCAUGGAACCUGUUCCCGAGAGUAGACUGCAUCCUUUUAUAUGCAUGUGUUAUCGACUGUACAUGGUUAAAUGAGUUGUUUGGAUGUUAUGUUCUUUAUGGAAAAUGUGAUCAUGCUAUCGUGUGAAUGCUAAAAUGCCUAGUUGCUUGUUGUUCUUUUGGAACCUCACUGAGCUUUUAGCUCAUUCCUUCAAUUGUUUUUCUUAACAGGGUACAGGGAUGACAAGGACAAGAAUAGUGCUAAUUGUAAUAGAAAAUCUUAAUCUUGUAUUGGACGGCACUGUAUUAUGGUAUUAGUGUACAAGUUCUUAUCUUUUGGUCUGUAUUUUGGUUUGUAUAUUCGGAUGAUUGGUAGUAUGUAGAUGUUAUAUUGAGAGUUUUAGCGUUAUUGAUUUGCUAUCCAAAGAAUAAGAAAUUCAAAAAUUGUAGUUCUUAUUUUAAAUAAUUGCAAUUCUAUUUAUACUUAGAGAAGUGAUUGAAC
This 2946-nucleotide long non-coding RNA is filed under the name Coffea arabica (coffee). RNAcentral describes it as "long non-coding RNA (CARA_LNC007101)". The record is from RNAcentral. Lineage: Eukaryota; Viridiplantae; Streptophyta; Magnoliopsida; Gentianales; Rubiaceae.